AGGAAGGGAGGGUCAGUCUGUUCCUUAGCUUAAGAAAGCGGAGCUUGAGCUGAGAGAAUCCCAGAGACACGCCAACGCAGAGCUCUUUCUUCACCCACAGGGUCGGUCACCAUGUUGCACCCCAUCAUGAUCGGCAUUGUGACUCUGAACACGUCUAUCACCAUCAUCUACUGGGCCUUCAUUCUCAUAGAGGCCUUCCACAAGAAGGUUGAGGAUGAACCCAAGAAAGACAACCCUGCUUAAACGGAUCGCCCGUCCCCCAACUCUGUAAAUCUGUAGACUUCUGUUGUUAGAGUAGAUUGUUUGUAGUGCUUCCAUGAUACACCUGGGCCAAAGAAAACGAUUUUUACAUAUAACAGCUCUUCAGUCUUACAUUUUUGUCAAGGGAUUAUGAAAGCCCCAAGAAUUAAUCUGCAGGUCUUUUUGUCAGUAUCCAGACAUCGGACGAGACAACAGCUGUCACGUAACAGGAAAGAAAUACAUUAUCAAAACCCCCUGGAUCUUGGGAAGAGGUGCACAAGGAAUGGGAGAGCACAUGGAAAGAUUACUUAUCAUUACCAAGCCAAGGAGGAUCACCGACUAAGAUUGGGCACUUGGAUCAACCCCUGUUCAGCGCAAUGUGUAUGAGCUGCUGGGAGAGAAGGAGCAGAUUGGCAGUGGGAGGGAGACCAGCACACAAGAGGAGAACCAGCGAGGGACGCUGCCAGGACUUCAGCUCGAGUUGUGAAUCUGGACCUAAAGAAAGAAAAAUCUCUACACAGUCAUUGCACUAACUUUGCCCUUAACGUUUCACCCAGAACCUCCAAGAAAACAUCCACUUGAAUUAGUGUUUAUUUUUCAUAAAUAAAUAAAUAAAUAGCAUUUACAUUUUAUUUAUUUGUCAAUACCCUUGUGCAUUCUAGUAUUCAUGAUUUCAUGAACCCCGACCAGUAGACCACGGCUGAAGUGCCCUUGAGCAAGGCAUCUAACCCCUCACUGCUCCCCGAG
This is a long non-coding RNA of Alosa sapidissima (American shad), 987 nucleotides long. RefSeq lists it as uncharacterized. The record is from RefSeq and is a predicted model, not a curated record. Lineage: Eukaryota; Metazoa; Chordata; Actinopteri; Clupeiformes; Clupeidae. The transcript is spliced from 3 exons.